RNAcentral lists this ribosomal RNA (1016 nucleotides) under Kitasatospora sp. RNAcentral describes it as "bacterial SSU rRNA". It matches the Rfam family "Bacterial small subunit ribosomal RNA", at positions 335 to 1313 of the family's 1533-position model. Lineage: Bacteria; Bacillati; Actinomycetota; Actinomycetes; Kitasatosporales; Streptomycetaceae. The record is from RNAcentral.
ACUCCUACGGGAGGCAGCAGUGGGGAAUAUUGCACAAUGGGCGAAAGCCUGAUGCAGCGACGCCGCGUGAGGGAUGACGGCCUUCGGGUUGUAAACCUCUUUCAGCAGGGAAGAAGCGCAAGUGACGGUACCUGCAGAAGAAGCACCGGCUAACUACGUGCCAGCAGCCGCGGUAAUACGUAGGGUGCGAGCGUUGUCCGGAAUUAUUGGGCGUAAAGAGCUCGUAGGCGGCCUGUCGCGUCGGAUGUGAAAGCCCGGGGCUUAACCCCGGGUCUGCAUUCGAUACGGGCAGGCUGGAGUGUGGUAGGGGAGAUCGGAAUUCCUGGUGUAGCGGUGAAAUGCGCAGAUAUCAGGAGGAACACCGGUGGCGAAGGCGGAUCUCUGGGCCAUUACUGACGCUGAGGAGCGAAAGCGUGGGGAGCGAACAGGAUUAGAUACCCUGGUAGUCCACGCCGUAAACGUUGGGAACUAGGUGUUGGCGACAUUCCACGUCGUCGGUGCCGCAGCUAACGCAUUAAGUUCCCCGCCUGGGGGAGUACGGCCGCAAGGCUAAAACUCAAAGGAAUUGACGGGGGGCCCGCACAAGCAGCGGAGCAUGUGGCUUAAUUCGACGCAACGCGAAGAACCUUACCAAGGCUUGACAUACACCGGAAACUGGUCAGAGAUAUGAGCCCCCCUUGUGGUCCGGUGUACAGGUGGCUGCAUGGGUUGUCGUCCAGCUCCUUGUCCUGGAGAUGUUACGGGUUAAAGUCCCCGCAACGAGCGCCAACCCCUUGGUUCUGUGUUUGCCAGCGAAGUAAUUGUCCGGGGACUCACAGGGAAAACUGCCGGGGGUCAACUCCGGAGGAAAGGUGGGGGACCAACGUCAAAAUCAUCAUGGGCCCCUUUAAUGUCUUGGGCUUGCCAACGUUGGCUACAAAUUGGCCCGGUACAAAGAGGCUUCCGAAUUCCCUUGGAGGCGGGAAACGAAUCCCCCAAAAAGCCGGUUCUCAAUUUCGGAUUGGGGUCUGCAACUC